CAAAAUAAAGGUAGAAAAUUAAACACAUUUAUGGACACAAAUGUUAUUUUCUUGAACUUAUUAUCUUACAUGGAUAUUCCAAAAUCAAUAUUCCAAAACCACAAUUUGUGGAAUUGGACUACCUUUAUGUAUUGUUGGGUUAAAUAUGAGUACCACAUUAGCAUAUAAUGUAAUUUUUUUAUAGGUUUACCAAAGCGCAAUAAACUGAGUACUUUCAGACUACAAUAGGCAGUUUUGAAAUGUUAAGCUAUUUUAUUAAGUUAUUGGUAACUCAACACAAUGUUUAAAGUCAACAUCUGGUAGUAGGAAUAAAGCGUAACACAAAGGAUAUGGGUUUGAUUCCUAGGGAGCAUGUAUAAUAAUAAAACAUAUGAAGUUUAGAAUUCACUGCUGUUUGCUUGGGAUAAAUUUUUUUAGACAAUUAAUUAAUGUAAAUCAUAUUUGCUCACACUGGUAUCCUGAUUAUUGAUGAGAUCUCCAUGACGAUGUUCACUCAUUCUUGAAUUGCCCUAAUGUUCUGCCCUGAUGAACUCGCAGGUUGGCCUUAAUUACUACAUGAGUGAGAUAUGUCAUCGUGGCUUGGUGCGAUUCCACACCACAUUCUGCAAAGCCUUGCGACUUUUCAAGGCGAGGGCAAAUCCUCGUUGUUCCCAAUGCCUACUCAAAGAGAGAUAGAGGAUCCCAGUCCAGAGACCUCCGCUUUUGAGUUCAACACACCUGGAGCUAGCUAAUUCCCUCAUCCAUCUAAAAAAACAAAAAACAAAACAAAAAAAACACCAACAAAUAGACACUACAAAAAGAAGGCAGUUUUUGGACAUCUGUGGUUUUGCACCAUGGGACUGUGUUCUCAUAAUGGAUUGUUAGUGGUGUUGCUGUUUCAUCUUUGCCAGGCACAAGAUGAUGCUAUCCCCUCCCCUGACCCUGAGCUAGCCCCACCAAGCCUGGGUGAUGUGUCUGAUGCAGUGAAGGCAGACUUUGAGCAGGAAGUACAGAUCUCGACAACCGACACUGUACACGAGGCCUCAGAGCAGGUCGUAGGUGAACUCUCUCCACAGAAGACUCCAGAAGAGCAGUCACCAAUGGUAGAGACCACAGCUGAUUAUACAACAGAAGCAGCAGCUAAAGAGGAGGCAGUGGUGCUCACUGCAGGUGAACCAGAUGCUCAUUUGUUAGAAUCAACUCAAGAUAUUGAGCCUGCAGAGGAGAUUCAAGGACUGAUACCUCAGGCAUCAAUCUCAGAGCCAGAUGUGAAAUCAGUUAUAAAACCAGGAGAGUUGGUCCUUGAAGCAGUAGAUUCAGUUCAGGAACCAGUAGAAUCAGUUUUGCAAGACCCUAAGAUUGCUGAAGUGGGUGAUACAAUGACUGAGGAAAGCCAUGCAGAUGAAUCACCUGUCCAGAUGUGUCCUGAUACACAAAAAGAUAAACAAUCAGAAAGAGUAGCUGCAGAAAUGGAAGUGGUUGAAGAUGAAAAUGUAGAAGAGCCAGAACAGGGAUUCAUUGAGAAGGAAGCUCAGGUGUCUGAGAUGGAAGAGAAAACAGGAAAGGGGGAAAUAGAGAAAGUAGAGGUGAUGAUAAGUAGGGGACAAGUUAAACUACAAGGACAACAAAAAGAAGAAUCUUUGGAAAGGCAAGAUACAGAAUGGGAUAAAGAAUCAGAGCAUAGUCAAGAGGAAUGGCAGGCAGUAACAGCACAGAUGGCUCCAGAUGGUGGUGUGGUUGAUAUGGAUGAAGUAGAACAGGAAGAGGAAGAACAGGAAGUAGCGAAGACUGAAGAAGGUGUGAUUGAAGUUGAAGCAAGGAGAGAGGAGGUAGAGGCUGGAUCUGAGGCACAGCUAUGGAAGGUUUCAAGAGAGAAGGAGGUUCAUCCAGCCGACAAAACAGUACUGGAGAAAACUCAACAAGAACCAGAGGUCACCGUGGAUACAUGGGGACCAAUUAAGCUGCAGGAGCCUGUUAUUACGAAGUCAAAAGCAACAGGCGAUUUUACAGGUAAAACACAUGAGGCCAGUGAUGUAAAUGAGAUUAUCACCUCCAGAGACCCGAACAAGAACAAUCAGGGUGUACCAGUGUUGAUGAACACUGUUGAGGAGCUCCAACCAACACCAGUUCUCAAACUGAGGCUUGGAGAUACUGACGCACCAGCGGAGGAACAUGUUGACUCUACACAGACCAAAGCCACAGGGCAGGAAGCAUGGAAGAUAGGAGCCAUAGCAGCAGCUUUCUUUCUCAUUCUGCAAACUGCUGUCACCAUUGUCUACAUUCUGAAGUGCCGGCGAAAGCCAAAUAGCAGUGUGGCCUCAAAGAACCUGUGUGCUGGAGGAAACGGAGGCAUGGAAUGUGAUGCAAACAACACAGAUACCACCAUUCCAAUCGAUGAACAAACUGCUGUAGAUGACCUUCCUGAGUACUCAGAGGUCCAGCAAGAGGACGUUGCUAUGACAACUUUCACACUGGAUUCCACAGAGAAGAAUUCACCCUAUGACCCCAGAACCUCUGUUGUUUAG
Molecule: long non-coding RNA, 2504 nt
Filed under: Carassius auratus (goldfish)
Lineage: Eukaryota; Metazoa; Chordata; Actinopteri; Cypriniformes; Cyprinidae
Description: lncRNA (ENSCARG00000026336.1)
Source: RNAcentral